CCUGGCAAAACCCAUUGCAUCAGCAGCUUCUACAGCUUCCGCCUGCGCCCUACCUGCCAAGCUUGGACAGGAAGAGGAAAGGAAAGAGAAAACUUUACUCCAAUCCCCCCUCCUCUGUUAACUUCCCCUCCCACCCUCGGGCCCUAACUAGCCCCUGGGACGCCUCCUCCCCACCAACGCAUCCAUCCCCAGAGGAAAAAGCGAGGAUUUCAGAGCGCGACCUGGGCAGGCUCUCAUGAAAGUCACCACGUUUAUGUAGGUAACUAAGGCCUACCGAAACCACUCAGCCCUAAGUGCACGCAGGAGAAGCAUGGAGUUGGAGGAAAAGGGUGGGGUUGGGAGCUUCUGAUUCAGCCACAUGUGUGCUGUUUCCAUAGUUAUAUGAUCAGAGUGACUAAUUCAUCAAAG
This is a long non-coding RNA of Rhinopithecus roxellana (golden snub-nosed monkey), 408 nucleotides long. RefSeq lists it as uncharacterized. The record is from RefSeq and is a predicted model, not a curated record. NCBI's taxonomy places the organism in Eukaryota, Metazoa, Chordata, Mammalia, Primates, Cercopithecidae. The transcript is spliced from 3 exons.